Peromyscus californicus insignis is the source of this 3466-nucleotide long non-coding RNA. RefSeq lists it as uncharacterized. The record is from RefSeq and is a predicted model, not a curated record. The transcript is spliced from 8 exons. Lineage: Eukaryota; Metazoa; Chordata; Mammalia; Rodentia; Cricetidae.
GAAAUUACUCACUGAGUGAGAAGUGUUCUCAGUUCAGCAAAUCAACCAUCAUUGCAAGGUGCAUCCAGGAGUAAAGCUUGAAAGUUAGCUUAUUCCUAAGCCAGGAGAACAUUGUGAUCUUCUUCGUCAAGUCAACAGACAGUUCAUGCCUAGUGGACAAAUGCUACAGCCGAUGAAGCUGAUGGUGAUUACUACUGAUAAGGAAAGAGAUUGAAGGAAAUCCAGAAGGUGGCUAAGCAAAGUGGAUAUUUUGUAGUUAUGACCUAAGUUUAUGAUGGAAAGCAAAGAAGAGAAAUGGGUGUUUACUGACUGUCUACUAAAUCCAAGGCUAACGAGGACUGUGCAGUGUGGACCCUGACAGCCUCGGGAGUUUUGACCACUGUCUCUGAGUUCCAACAUUAUGAAAUAUGAAGCACUAAAAUGAGUGACAUCCAUGCUGCUGUUUCAAGCCUUCUGUGAUCUUGAAGGGGAACCUCUGUUUGCAGAACUGCGUUUAAGCUGAAGGAAAUGGGAAGGGAUUUAUUUCAACAAGAAGGAAUCUCUUGGAAAGUUGCCUAUUGACUUAUCUAUCCAUCUAUAACCAAGAUAGGAUCCAUUUGAGGACUAUGGCCUGAAAAGUAUGAUGUGAGAGCUAUAAGUGCUAUAAUUUCUACAAGCAGCUCUGUUGUGGCCAUCCUAGCAUGUCAGCAGAAACAAACCUGUGAGCUCAGAUAAACUUAGAGAAAAGUCUCGUGAAGACUUUCCCUCUACCAGGACUGAACUUCUGAAGUCGCUAUAAGUGGCCACCAACAUGCUAAUGAAACAGAUAUUUGAAUGAUAACAAAUAGAAUAAGGUGAACUUGAUACUUAACUACAACCUGUUGAAACCGUAUCAUGCAAAAUAUAUAACUCAUCAAAUGUGGAAACCUAAACAAAUAAAACGCGACUCAUCAAAGCGUUUCCUUUUGUGCUUGAGAACCCACAAAGCCUUGACGUGUACCUGUGAAUUCCAAGGCAAUACGUGCUCACACUCAUGCAGAAGAUGAAACAAAAAGUCAAUCUCAUAGGAGCUGAAGAAUGGUCAUCUUUUGACAAUGUUUUGGGAUCCAUCUUUUUUUCUCCAUUGAUUUUUUUUUCUGCAGAGGGUAGAGCUACAUUUUUUUUAGUAAAGUGCUAAUAAACAAAACAAAUUAUCAAAUAUUGACCUCUUCUGUAGCUUUCAAGUGAUGUUGUAGUUGUAUGUCUAGCCAACUCCGUCCUUGGAUCCAAGACUACUCCAUGAGAGUGUGUUCAUGGCUUCUCUUCUGGGAAGAGGACUUGUCUGGGCAGGACAUGCUGGGACAAGCAGAUAUAUCCUUUCAGCUGAAAUAAUGAAGAAAGCCUAAGGCAAGAGAUUGAAAGAUAUGGUCUAAUGUACAAGGCAUCCUUCCUCUUUGUUGUGUUAGAUGAUCUUACUAAUAGACUAAUCUGGGAAAAUCAUUCGCAGGUUUUUAUGGGGUCUGAAUGCUAUUACAAGGAUGAAAGCAAUUUCCAAACCAUAAAAGACUCUAAAGGUAAAAGAUGUCAUUGUUUAAGCUUACAAUUUACACAUGAAGUCUUUUAGUUCUUUCAUUUUUUUUUUUUUACAAUGUCUGCCGCACGAGUAGCAUGGGAAAUGCUCAGAAAUUGCUGAGAAAAAAAAUGAAUGAAUGCUUGGGGUCACCUAUCUCCUCCCUAUGUACCACUCUUAAGAAAUUCAUUGACAAAAGAAUGCCAACUGUGCUUGUUUGCUGUGGGAUAUUGGACAGAUAAUACAAGCAGGAGUGAUUUAAGUGAGGGUCACAUUGAAGAAUUCAAAUGGGACUCAACAGUGAGAACGGUCGCAGAGGACAUUGAAUCACAUCCCCUCUGCAGAGUUUAAAGAGAUUGGAUUCUGUUCUCUUUGGAGCAAUUGAAGUCUAAUCUUGAUGAACUUGAAGAUCUCUCAGCAUCUUUUCUAUCCCUUUAAUCUUGGGAUUAAAAUGAACCUGAAAUCUUUAGUGCCUGGGGAAGCAAUUGAUGUUCUCUGUAUGAGUUUAGAUAACACUGAGUAAGGAACCAGUAUGUAGCUUGGCUGCUUCUCAUUUGGCUACUUUUAAGUAUAUUUACAGUAAGCAUUGCUGAUGUACAAUUUUUUUUAAAAAAAAAUCUUAAAACAUGUUGUGGACCUUUUUGCUUCCAGUGAAUCUUGCUGAUGGCAUACAUUCUCUUACUCAGGAUUCUUUGGUGUGAGUCAUAAUGAUAAAGUGUGACUUAGAGUCCUAUGAUUCACUUCAAGAUGGCUCUUAUUAUUUACAGAAUAAUGCAGAUGAAUCACUUCGGGUAUUUCAAAGGCCUUACAUAAAUACACAAAUAAUACAUCCCAGUUUCUGACCAUUGCAGCUUUUACAAUGAUGGUAACAUACAAAGAAAUUAUGGCAUCACCAUAAAUUUCUUUCAUGGUCUUCCAAGCCAGGUGGCUCUUCCUCUUACAAAUGUCUUCAGAUGAGGACAAGGCAGUCCCUUUCACUAGUCUGGAACUUUAUCCAUGCAUGGAUCAUGCAUGCAUGAAGGGAUUUAUUUACUUAUGAACCUUUAAUGGUAGUACGAUGGCCUCACACACGAUGGAGUGGCUGCUAUGAAAAAGACAAAAGAUACUGAGUGCUGGUAAGGAUGUGGAGCAAUCCAAAAAUUUGCUGUGCUGUUGUUAGGAAUGUGAAUUAACAUUGCUACCGUGGGAAACUGUUUGGCAGUUCCUUAAACUAGAAAAAGAACUAUCAUGUGAUCCAGCAAUCCCACUACUUGGUGUAUAUGGAAACAAAUGAAGUCAAUAUCCUGAAGAGACAUCUGUGUUUCCACAUUCAUGCUGUGGUGAUCACAAUUGCCAAGGUAUGGAAUCUAGCGAUGCUGUAUUAUCUUUGGGAGGUGGAGGACAUUGCAACUGUGUCCCUGGAACUUUCUUUCCCAUUUCCAGUGCUGUAGCUGGGUCACAAGAAGCAUGAAAGGGGGCCAGGAGAGGACUACCUUGACAGGUGUUAUCUGAAUGAACACGGACUUCCCUCAUGUUCGGUGGGAUAAAGCAAAGUAGUGUUUUAUGUAUAAGGGGAAAAUAAAAUCUGCCUUUGUGAUUGGUCCUUGGGAUGCUGGCCAAACAGUGGAAUGAUGUCAGUCAAUGCUGAAAACUCCUUAGACUGUAAACAACAUGGUGAGUGGGUACAGAGAACAGUGGACUGGAUAGAAAUGCUUUAUGUUUACCUGGCUUCUAGGGGACAGUUCCAGUCAGUAACUUUUAAUAAGUCUUAUGUCUAGUAUGCUAUCUUUGAGUAUUUUCUGUGAUUUCUUGGUAACUUACUCCACCAUCGCUGUAGACAGAACAUAUAUGUACAUCUAUGGAUGAAUCAAUAAAGAAAACAUUAUUCAGACUUUACAAAGAACAUUCUUACUUUUAUAACAGAUUGUAUGGAACUACAGGAUAUUGUACUAAGCAAAG